RNAcentral lists this ribosomal RNA (493 nucleotides) under uncultured bacterium. Its description in RNAcentral is "partial 16S ribosomal RNA". It matches the Rfam family "Bacterial small subunit ribosomal RNA", at positions 29 to 507 of the family's 1533-position model. The record is from RNAcentral.
AACGAACGCUGGCGGCGCGUCUUAAACAUGCAAGUCGAACGGCAGGAAGGGGCUUGCCCCUUCUGAGAGUGGCGGACUGGUGAGUAACACGUGGGUGACAUACCUUUUAGUUGGGGAUAGCUAUUAGAAAUAGUAGGUAAUACCGAAUGUGACCGUACCUGUUAGAGGGGUACGAGGAAAGGAGCUAAGGCUUCGCUAAAAGAAUGGCUCGCGGCCCAUUAUGCUCGUUGGUGAGGUAACGGCCCACCAAGGCGAUGAUGGGUAUCCGGCCCGAGAGGGUGAACGGACACAUUGGGACUGAGAUACGGCCCAGACUUCUACGGGAGGCAGCAGUUAAGAAUAUUCCGCAAUGGACGAAAGUCUGACGGAGCGACGCCGCGUGGAUGAAGAAUGCCGAAAGGUUGUAAAAUCCUUUUAAGCCUGAUGAAUAAGCACAGUAGGGAAUGAUUGUGCGGUGACCGUAGGGCUUGAAUAAGCACCGGCUAAUUACGUG